UGGUAUGUAUUGGAAGGGAGAUAUCAAAGC
RNAcentral lists this non-coding RNA (30 nucleotides) under Mus musculus (house mouse). The record is from RNAcentral. Lineage: Eukaryota; Metazoa; Chordata; Mammalia; Rodentia; Muridae.